This 1214-nucleotide long non-coding RNA is filed under the name Cairina moschata (Muscovy duck). RNAcentral's name for it is "domestica (muscovy Duck (domestic type)) lncRNA (ENSCMMG00000013629.1)". Lineage: Eukaryota; Metazoa; Chordata; Aves; Anseriformes; Anatidae. The record is from RNAcentral.
AACUCAACCCAAAAUGGCCCAGCUCCACACACCCAACCCAACCCAAAUUGGGUCAGCCCAACCCAACAAAGCCCCCCUUCCCAACCCAACCCAACUCAACCCAACCCAACCCAACUCAACCCAACCCAACCCAACCCAACCCAACCCAACCCAAAUCAACUCAACCCAACCCAACUCAACCCAACGCAACCCAACCCAACCCAAUCCAACCAAACCCAACUCAACCCAACCCAAACCAACCCAACCCAACUCAACCCAACGCAACCCAACCCAAUCCAACCCAACCCAACGAAGGCCAACAGCGCCCCCUGCUGUGUCCCUGUCCCCCCGCCCAGAACUCGCGGUACCAGACCUACCAGCGGAUGUGGAACUACAUGCAGUCGAAGCAGCCCAGCGUCUUCGUGAAGAGCACGGAGGAGGGCAUCGCGCGCGUGCUCAACUCCAAGUACGCCUUCCUGCUGGAGUCCACCAUGAACGAGUACCACCGGCGGCACAACUGCAACCUCACCCAGAUCGGCGGGCUGCUGGACACCAAGGGCUACGGCAUCGGGAUGCCGCUGGGCUCGCCGUUUCGGGACGAGAUCACCUUGGCCAUCCUGCAGCUGCAGGAGAACAACCGGCUGGAGAUCCUCAAGCGCAAGUGGUGGGAAGGGGGCCACUGCCCCAAGGAGGAAGACCACCGCGCCAAAGGUAUGGGGGGUGCGGGGGGGUGAGAUUGGGAGGGGGUGACCCAACCCAACUGGACCCAACCCAACUGGACCCAACCCAACUCAUCACAAGUCACCCAAUGCAACUCAACUCAAUCCAACCCAACCCAACCCAACCCAACCCAACUCAACCCAACCCAACUGAACUCACCCAACUCAAAUCAACUCAACUCAUCCAACUCAACCCAAACCAACUCAACUCAAUCCAACCCAACCCAACCCAACCCAUCUCAUCUAACCCAACUCAAUCCAAGCCAACCCAAUCUAACCCAACUCAAACCAACCCAACUCAAUCCAACCCAACCCAACCCAACUCAACCCAAUUCACCCAACUCAAUCCAACCCAACCCAACCCAACUCAAACCAACUCAACCCAAACCAACUCAACCGAACCCAACUUAACCCAACCCAGUCCAACCCAAUCCAACUCAUCCAACUCAACCCAACCCAACUCAACCCAACCCAAUCCAACCCAAUUCAACUCAAUCCAACCCAACCCAACCCAAC